GGAGAGAUGCGAGAGUGGCUUAAUCGGCACGACUGGAAAUCGUGUGAGCGCCUAGCGCUCCGGGGGUUCGAAUCCCCCUCUCUCCGCCA
RNAcentral lists this transfer RNA (89 nucleotides) under Candidatus Krumholzibacteriia bacterium. RNAcentral describes it as "tRNA-Ser". It matches the Rfam family "tRNA". Rfam says of the family: Transfer RNA (tRNA) molecules are approximately 80 nucleotides in length. Their secondary structure includes four short double-helical elements and three loops (D, anti-codon, and T loops). The record is from RNAcentral. Lineage: Bacteria; Candidatus Krumholzibacteriota; Candidatus Krumholzibacteriia.